GGAAAGUAGGUGAGCUUGACCACAUCCUUUGGGUGGUUAUACUGCUGGUAGACACCUGCCUGUUUUGCUACCCUCUUUCUCCACUACUUUCCUUUACUCGGGAAAUAGUUCUUUAUGCCCAAAAGCAAUUUUAUUAGCAAUGUCUAGAAAAAAAAUUUUAGUCUAAGGAAAGUAAUUUAGAAAAUAACUAUCCAUGGUGUUAUUUUAUUCAAAUAUUUAGGAUUCUCUGAUGUGAUUGCACUUUAUUUGGUAAAUGAAUUUCAGAUUAUUUUCUGUAAUAGUUUGCAUGAAAUCUUUUAGUUAUUAAGAAAUAGGAGCUGUACAGCAUAUUGAAAUUUUAAAAAUUAAGGUGGCUUCUCAGAUUGAAAAAACUUACAUUGAAUCUAAGGCUUUCUCAACUACAAAAUCACCGAACUUUUAACACAUCUAAUUUUAAAAGCCAAUAAUAGAUAUGAUCUAUGUCACUAAGUUAAGACAGUAAAAGUUCUAGUAGAACUUCAGGAAAAGUUAAGAGAAAUCAAAUUUUUGAACUUAAUUCAUUCCUUUUUAUGAUGCAUCUGGCUUAUUUCUUGCUUUUGAUGAUUAGCUGAAGCAAGGAAAGGUUAAAGAGAUUUUACAAAUUGCUUAAACACACAUAUGUUUCUGCAUUUCAGGUAUCAAUCUUGAUAGCAAAUCUUAAAAGCUAACUUUCUGCAUUAUAUUUUCAGUCUAUGCAAUGUCAGCACAGUCAUAAUGUGGUCUAGAGUUUAUUAUAUUAGAUGGUAAGAAAUUUGUGCUGAUAAACGCUAUAAACCAGUAUUACCCAGUGUUAAGCCACACCACUCACCAAAUAUGAAGACUUCAAAGAAGUUCGGAGCUUAAUUUAAAUGAUAUGAGAAGUUUGCCUGGGAAUUGAGAGGAGCCUGCUGAUUGGAAUGGUUCAUCAUGCCUUUCUAAUAUGAAUUGGCAAAACUGUGAUAUUGAGUUGCCCCUUUAAAAACAACCUUCCGGAAUGUAUUUGCUUGCUUACUAUGG
RNAcentral lists this long non-coding RNA (1014 nucleotides) under Bos taurus (domestic cattle). RNAcentral describes it as "long non-coding RNA NONBTAT008100". Lineage: Eukaryota; Metazoa; Chordata; Mammalia; Artiodactyla; Bovidae. The record is from RNAcentral.